Molecule: ribosomal RNA, 427 nt
Filed under: uncultured Luteibacter sp.
Lineage: Bacteria; Pseudomonadati; Pseudomonadota; Gammaproteobacteria; Lysobacterales; Rhodanobacteraceae
Description: bacterial SSU rRNA
Rfam family: Bacterial small subunit ribosomal RNA
Source: RNAcentral
UGGGGAAUAUUGGACAAUGGGCGCAAGCCUGAUCCAGCAAUGCCGCGUGUGUGAAGAAGGCCCUCGGGUUGUAAAGCACUUUUAUCAGGAGCGAAAUCUGCAUGGCUAAUACCCAUGUAGUCUGACGGUACCUGAGGAAUAAGCACCGGCUAACUCCGUGCCAGCAGCCGCGGUAAUACGGAGGGUGCAAGCGUUAAUCGGAAUUACUGGGCGUAAAGCGUGCGUAGGCGGUUCGUUAAGUCUGCUGUGAAAGCCCCGGGCUCAACCUGGGAAUGGCAGUGGAUACUGGCGAGCUAGAGUGUGAUAGAGGAUGGUGGAAUUCCCGGUGUAGCGGUGAAAUGCGUAGAGAUCGGGAGGAACAUCAGUGGCGAAGGCGGCCAUCUGGAUCAACACUGACGCUGAGGCACGAAAGCGUGGGGAGCAAACA